RNAcentral lists this ribosomal RNA (253 nucleotides) under uncultured bacterium. Its description in RNAcentral is "partial 16S ribosomal RNA". It matches the Rfam family "Bacterial small subunit ribosomal RNA", at positions 524 to 776 of the family's 1533-position model. The record is from RNAcentral.
UACGGAGGGUGCGAGCGUUGUUCGGAAUCAUUGGGCGUAAAGCGCGUGUAGGCGGCUUGGCAAGUCGGUUGUGAAAUCCCGGGGCCCAACCCCGGAACUGCAAUCGAAACUGCCUCGCUAGAGUCCCGGAGAGGAAGGCGGAAUUCCCGGUGUAGAGGUGAAAUUCGUAGAUAUCGGGAGGAACACCAGUGGCGAAGGUGGCCUUCUGGACGGGGAUUGACUCUGAGACGCGAAAGCGUGGGGAGCAAACAGG